RNAcentral lists this ribosomal RNA (465 nucleotides) under uncultured bacterium. Its description in RNAcentral is "partial 16S ribosomal RNA". It matches the Rfam family "Bacterial small subunit ribosomal RNA", at positions 28 to 507 of the family's 1533-position model. The record is from RNAcentral.
GACGAACGCUGGCGGUGUGCCUAACACAUGCAAGUCGAACGGUAAGGCCCUUUCGGGGGUACACGAGUGGCGAACGGGUGAGUAACACGUGAGUAACCUGCCCUCAUCUCUGGGAUAACAGUCGGAAACGGUUGCUAAUACUGGAUAUGAGCCUGCAAGGCAUCUUGUGGGUUGGAAAGAUUUUUUGGUUGGGGGUGGACUCGCGGCCUAUCAGCUUGUUGGUGAGGUAGUGGCUCACCAAGGCUUCGACGGGUAGCCGGCCUGAGAGGGCGACCGGCCACAUUGGGACUGAGAUACGGCCCAAACUCCUACGGGAGGCAGCAGUGGGGAAGAUUGCACAAUGGACGGAAGUCUGAUGCAGCAACGCCGCGUGCGGGAUGACGGCCUUCGGGUUGUAAACCGCUUUCAAUUGUGACGAAGCUUUUUGUGACGGUAGCAGUAGAAGAAGCACCGGCUAACUACGUG